RNAcentral lists this unclassified non-coding RNA (574 nucleotides) under Hevea brasiliensis (rubber tree). The record is from RNAcentral. Lineage: Eukaryota; Viridiplantae; Streptophyta; Magnoliopsida; Malpighiales; Euphorbiaceae.
AUAUGAUCUAGGGUAGGUAGAGAAGGCUUCACACCAGUCAUGAUAUAUGCCAAUCAGGCCUCGCUCAUAAAUAAUGCCCAGCGUAUUUUUCUCAGAGAUGGUUGGGACGACAUUCAUCACCCAUGAUUUUGGUGAUUCCAGAGCUGCAGCAAAGCUUCCUAAACCAGCAUUCAUGUCCAAUAUGUUUCUGUACCUUCCGGAGCUGAUUAGCUUGUUUGCCUUCUUAUAUGCAUUAACAUGUUUCUUCCAUAUCAUGUUGUCCUUUUCAUAAGAUUCUUUUGUCACACCUGGGACAUAACCCCCAGCUACUCUGGGAGGGAUAGCGAACAGUCUGUCUGGAAACUUUUUCAAUUUCCCCCCAGCAACUUCGCCUGGACUGCUAACCUCUGGAUAUGGAGUUAUGCAUGCUUGCAUCUUCUCAUCCCAGACAUCAUCAGGAUGUUCAGUUUUACACAUCUCGACAGAAAGAUCUUCCCUUUUUAGACAAGAAUCGGCAUUUGAUUUCUUUCUCCAGAUAGCUAUGUCCCCUUUCUCGUACUUCUUUUCCCAACAUAGCAUUUCAGCCAAUUCCUCA